Molecule: long non-coding RNA, 108 nt
Organism: Sapajus apella (tufted capuchin)
Lineage: Eukaryota; Metazoa; Chordata; Mammalia; Primates; Cebidae
Exons: 3
Source: RefSeq, a predicted model, not a curated record
CGGUACUUCGUUGUGGUUUAAACUUGCAUUUCUCUGAUGAUUAGUGAUGUUGAGCACUUUUCCUAUGUCUGUUGGUCACUUGUAUGUCUCCUUAUGAGAAAUAUCUGC